Molecule: long non-coding RNA, 1683 nt
Organism: Ailuropoda melanoleuca (giant panda)
Lineage: Eukaryota; Metazoa; Chordata; Mammalia; Carnivora; Ursidae
Exons: 2
Source: RefSeq, a predicted model, not a curated record
GGAAGUUGGGCUGGCCGCAAAUGUCGCUGAACGGCAGGUGCACAGACUGGGGGACAGGAGCCUGGGUGGGGGGCCAUUGUAGCAAUCCUGGGUGAGGUUCUGAGCACUGGAACAGAAAAGGAAAUGCAGAGGAGCAGGUCAGAGGAAGAAAGAAGAAGACCUUGCUGCAAUUUGGAUGAAGGGAAGAAGGAGAGGGAGCUGGAGCCUGGGGCGGUGGUGCCGGCCCCCAGCAAAGCUCGAAGAGGGAGAUAACGUGGAUUGUCCCUUGCGGAAAGAGGGAGGCUCACCCCAAGUGAUGGGGCAAUGUGGCAGAAAGCUUCUGUGUGCGAGGAGACCCGUGGGGCUUUGGGACGGCCACACCGGGAGUGCAGAGACCUUGAGAGGGGAAGAGAGGGUCUCUGGGGUCAAGUCCUUGGAGAGCGCUGGAGAGCUGGGGUCCACAAAGCCUGAGAGACUAGGGCGCUGCUCAGCCUGGAUUCCUGGAUGAGCUCCUGGUGGCACAAAGUGCCCCACUAGUGACUGACACUUCCACCUGCCCGACCCUGUUAAGUGUUCAGAGCCAGAUCACCUUUGGUUUGGGAAUAUUAAGUGACAAUUCUACCGCCAGGAGCUGUGGACCAAAGUCACUCCUCCCGCGCGGAAAACAGCUGCGAGGACUCCCAACAUAUGUCCUGAGUUCUCACCGAUUUAUUCUUGAAAUGCUCAAGUCAUUUUUUCUAACACUUUUAAUGUUUCAUGCUUUUCUAUUUUUUUAAUUAUGAAAGACUGCAAACACACGCAGAAACAGACUAGGACCCACCCACCUUGUACAGGUGCCAACCUUGGAUAAACUCGUUCCCACUCUAACCCCCCUCCUGUUAUUAUUUGCAUAUGUAAACUUCUCAGCGAAGCCUAAUACUAGAGAGAAGUGCCCACGUCAUCCGUCUCAGCUUGGUCAGCUUCUGCACCCUCUUGUACCAUUUUGCAGCACAUCUGUAAUCAUUUCAUCAGUUUCAGCCUUGCAUUCGCAUUUUUAUCGCGGCUGGAAGCAUGUAACAUGGGGCUUUCCGUCCGCGUCAUUUCAAGCACGUGGCUCAGUAGCGUUCAAUAUACUGGCAAUGCUGUACGGCAGGUCUCCCGAAUCUUCUCAUCUGGCAACACUGAAGAACUCUCCUUCGCAUCCUUUGUAACGGGAGUCACUGGGGAGCUGAGCUGUCAAAUCUACAUAGAAAGACAUGUGUGCCUUCGUCUUACAGAGUAGGACACACCAUGGAAGGCGGGAAAGAGGGACCCACGGGCCAUGAUUUUACACCUGACACCAGAAAGGCUCUGCAAACAGGAGGCCUGCCAUGCAUCCCUGCCUCCCGGGGCACACCCCUGAUGCUCGGUGAUUACGGGGUGGACAGCACGUAGGAAGCAAGGUCAGGUCAUGGCUCCUUAGCCUUGGUGACUGUCACCUUUGCACACUUGGAGUGACUUCACCGGAUCUCGUGGCGGUCUGACAGCAUACUUGGGUCUGAAAAAAAUGGAGAAAGUAGCCACUCCGUGCAUUUCUGAAGGAAGCACAGAAGAACUAAGAACUUUUGCCUGUUUUCGACUUGAACGCAAAAGUCUGACUCCCCCCGGACUGUGCUUAGCUGUGGGAAUGGCUGGGAGAGAGACUGUAAUCCCUAACCCGAUUCUUUCAUUAUUAUUUACCUUCUA